RNAcentral lists this ribosomal RNA (405 nucleotides) under uncultured bacterium. RNAcentral describes it as "partial 16S ribosomal RNA". It matches the Rfam family "Bacterial small subunit ribosomal RNA", at positions 30 to 526 of the family's 1533-position model. The record is from RNAcentral.
AUUGAACGCUAGCGGGAGGCUUUACACAUGCAAGUCGAACGAGUGGCGGACGGGUGAGUAAUGUAUCGGAACGUGCCCAGUAGCGGGGGAUAACUACUCGAAAGAGUGGCUAAUACCGCAUACUAUUGGAGCGGCCCAUAUCGGAUUAGCUCGUUGGUGGGGUAAAGGCUCACCAAGGCAACGAUCCGUAGCUGGUUUGAGAGGAUGACCAGCCACACUGGGACUGAGACACGGCCCAGACUCCUACGGGAGGCAGCAGUGGGGAAUAUUGGACAAUGGGGGAAAGCCUGAUCCAGCCAUCCCGCGUGUAUGAGAAGGCCUUAGGGUUGUAAAGUACUUUCGGCAGAGAAGCGUUACCUGCAGAAUAAGCACCGGCUAACUACGUGCCAGCAGCCGCGGUAAUAC